GUGUUGCACCCCGGACCCUUUAUAAGAAUUAAACGCGCUUAUG
This 43-nucleotide ribosomal RNA is filed under the name Quercus ilex. Lineage: Eukaryota; Viridiplantae; Streptophyta; Magnoliopsida; Fagales; Fagaceae. The record is from RNAcentral.